Molecule: ribosomal RNA, 1393 nt
Filed under: uncultured organism
Description: bacterial SSU rRNA
Rfam family: Bacterial small subunit ribosomal RNA
Source: RNAcentral
UAGCGGCAGGCUUACACAUGCAAGUCGAGGGGUAACGACUCCGUCUUCGGAUGGAGGUCGACGACCGGCGCACGGGUGAGUAACGCGUAUGCAACCUACCUUUUACAGGAGGAUAGCCCAGAGAAAUUUGGAUUAAUACUCCAUAGUACUAAUGAAUCACCUGGUUUAUUAGUUAAAACUCCGGUGGUAAAAGAUGGGCAUGCGUGUCAUUAGCUAGUUGGUAAGGUAACGGCUUACCAAGGCGAAGAUGACUAGGGGUUCUGAGAGGAAGAUCCCCCACACUGGUACUGAGACACGGACCAGACUCCUACGGGAGGCAGCAGUGAGGAAUAUUGGUCAAUGGGUGAGAGCCUGAACCAGCCAUGUCGCGUGAAGGAAGACUGCCCUAUGGGUUGUAAACUUCUUUUCUGCAGGAAGAAAUCACUCUACGUGUAGGGUGUUGCCGGUACUGCAGGAAUAAGCAUCGGCUAACUCCGUGCCAGCAGCCGCGGUAAUACGGAGGAUGCAAGCGUUAUCCGGAUUUAUUGGGUUUAAAGGGUGCGUAGGCGGGCUUGUAAGUCAGUGGUGAAAUGCUGUGGCUUAACCAUAGAAUUGCCAUUGAAACUGCAAGUCUUGAGUGCAGUUGAGGUGGGCGGAAUGAGUAAUGUAGCGGUGAAAUGCAUAGAUAUUACUCAGAACUCCGAUUGCGUAGGCAGCUUGCUAAACUGUAACUGACGCUGAUGCACGAAAGCGUGGGGAGCGAACAGGAUUAGAUACCCUGGUAGUCCACGCUGUAAACGAUGAGCACUGGUUGUUGGCAAUACACCGUCAGCGACUGAGCGAAAGUAUUAAGUGCUCCACCUGGGGAGUACGUCGGCAACGAUGAAACUCAAAGGAAUUGACGGGGGCCCGCACAAGCGGAGGAACAUGUGGUUUAAUUCGAUGAUACGCGAGGAACCUUACCUGGGCUUAAAUGUAGAGUGCAUUGUUGGAAACAACAUUUCUUCGGAACUCUUUACAAGGUGCUGCAUGGUGUCGUCAGCUCGUGCCGUGAGGUGUCGGUUAAGUCCCAUAACGAGCGCACCCUAUUGUUAGUUACCAGCACGUAAUGGUGGGGACUCUAGCAAGACGCCGGUGUAAACCGUGAGGAAGGUGGGGAGACGUCAAAUCAGCACGGCCCUUAUGUCCAGGGCUACACACGUGUUACAAUGGCAAGUACAAAGAGCAGCCACCUGGCGACAGGGCGCUAAUCUCAAAAGCUUGCCUCAGUUCGGAUCGAAGUCUGCAACUCGACUUCGUGAAGGUGGAUUCGCUAGUAAUCGCGCAUCAGCCAUGGCGCGGUGAAUACGUUCCCGGGCCUUGUACACACCGCCCGUCAAGCCAUGGAAGCUGGGGGUACCUGAAGUCCGUAACC